Molecule: ribosomal RNA, 688 nt
Filed under: Microbacterium invictum
Lineage: Bacteria; Bacillati; Actinomycetota; Actinomycetes; Micrococcales; Microbacteriaceae
Description: bacterial SSU rRNA
Rfam family: Bacterial small subunit ribosomal RNA
Source: RNAcentral
AAGCACCGGCUAACUACGUGCCAGCAGCCGCGGUAAUACGUAGGGUGCAAGCGUUAUCCGGAAUUAUUGGGCGUAAAGAGCUCGUAGGCGGUUUGUCGCGUCUGCUGUGAAAUCUGGGGGCUCAACCCCCAGCCUGCAGUGGGUACGGGCAGACUAGAGUGCGGUAGGGGAGAUUGGAAUUCCUGGUGUAGCGGUGGAAUGCGCAGAUAUCAGGAGGAACACCGAUGGCGAAGGCAGAUCUCUGGGCCGUAACUGACGCUGAGGAGCGAAAGGGUGGGGAGCAAACAGGCUUAGAUACCCUGGUAGUCCACCCCGUAAACGUUGGGAACUAGUUGUGGGGUCCAUUCCACGGAUUCCGUGACGCAGCUAACGCAUUAAGUUCCCCGCCUGGGGAGUACGGCCGCAAGGCUAAAACUCAAAGGAAUUGACGGGGACCCGCACAAGCGGCGGAGCAUGCGGAUUAAUUCGAUGCAACGCGAAGAACCUUACCAAGGCUUGACAUAUACGAGAACGGGCCAGAAAUGGUCAACUCUUUGGACACUCGUAAACAGGUGGUGCAUGGUUGUCGUCAGCUCGUGUCGUGAGAUGUUGGGUUAAGUCCCGCAACGAGCGCAACCCUCGUUCUAUGUUGCCAGCACGUUAUGGUGGGAACUCAUGGGAUACUGCCGGGGUCAACUCGGAGGAAGGU